UGGGGAAUUUUGGACAAUGGGGGCAACCCUGAUCCAGCCAUGCCGCGUGCGGGAAGAAGGCCUUCGGGUUGUAAACCGCUUUUGUCAGGGAAGAAAUCCUCUGGGUUAACACCUCGGGGGGAUGACGGUACCUGGAGAAUAAGCACCGGCUAACUACGUGCCAGCAGCCGCGGUAAUACGUAGGGUGCAAGCGUUAAUCGGAAUUACUGGGCGUAAGCGUGCGCAGGCGGUUGUGCAAGACAGAUGUGAAAUCCCCGGGCUUAACCUGGGAACUGCAUUUGUGACUGCACGGCUGGAGUGCGGCAGAGGGGGAUGGAAUUCCGCGUGUAGCAGUGAAAUGCGUAGAUAUGCGGAGGAACACCGAUGGCGAAGGCAAUCCCCUGGGCCUGCACUGACGCUCAU
This 402-nucleotide ribosomal RNA is filed under the name uncultured bacterium. Its description in RNAcentral is "bacterial SSU rRNA". It matches the Rfam family "Bacterial small subunit ribosomal RNA", at positions 355 to 750 of the family's 1533-position model. The record is from RNAcentral.